RNAcentral lists this transfer RNA (86 nucleotides) under Acidiferrobacteraceae bacterium. RNAcentral describes it as "tRNA-Ser". It matches the Rfam family "tRNA". Rfam says of the family: Transfer RNA (tRNA) molecules are approximately 80 nucleotides in length. Their secondary structure includes four short double-helical elements and three loops (D, anti-codon, and T loops). Further hydrogen bonds mediate the characteristic L-shaped molecular structure. tRNAs have two regions of fundamental functional importance: the anti-codon, which is responsible for specific mRNA codon recognition, and the 3' end, to which the tRNAs corresponding amino acid is attached (by aminoacyl-tRNA synthetases). tRNAs cope with the degeneracy of the genetic code in two manners: having more than one tRNA (with a specific anti-codon) for a particular amino acid; and 'wobble' base-pairing, i.e. permitting non-standard base-pairing at the 3rd anti-codon position. The record is from RNAcentral. Lineage: Bacteria; Pseudomonadati; Pseudomonadota; Gammaproteobacteria; Acidiferrobacterales; Acidiferrobacteraceae.
AGAGGUGGCAGAGUGGUCGAAUGCGGCGGUCUUGAAAACCGUUGUACCGCAAGGUACCGGGGGUUCGAAUCCCUCCCUCUCCGCCA